This 200-nucleotide unclassified non-coding RNA is filed under the name Thelephoraceae sp. Its description in RNAcentral is "partial internal transcribed spacer 2". Lineage: Eukaryota; Fungi; Basidiomycota; Agaricomycetes; Thelephorales; Thelephoraceae. The record is from RNAcentral.
UUAAGUUCAGCGGGUAGUCCUACCUGAUUUGAGAUCAAACGUUAAAAAGCUGUCCUCGCUGAGGAGAGACAUUUGUGAGCCCCAGCGAACCUCCGUGACUGAAGGUUACCUGGUGGAAAACCACAAGCGUAGAUAGUUAUCACACCUGUGAUGCCACCAAACACUGGCAAGCUGAUUCAUUUAAGAGGAGCCGACCAUAG